CUUAACCUAGACUCAGGUUCAAGUCAGAAAGUCAAGGCAGAAUCGUCUGAGUCAGAGCCUGUUGUUAAAGCUCUAAAAAGUGUGUUCAAAUUCCUGGCUGGAGAUCUAAGAAGAGAGGAAGGAGCACAUUCAGAACUGGGGGUCACAGCAGAAACUUUAAGCCAAAAGGAGCCCUAGUGUGCGGAAUGGCACUUGCAGGAAGCAGCUGUGCUGUUCUCUGACCUGGAGCUUGGAGGCCUGGCUAUUGUAAACCCACAGAAGAAAACUCAGAACUUACGCAGAAUUAUUGAUUGUUUUCUCCACCCAGAAGAAAUCGUUUUUCCUGGAAAGUCAGCCAUAUGGUGCCACAGAGGUGGAAGUAAGCCCUGAGUGGAACUACAAAGACCAGAAAGUGAAUCAUUGUUGGAAGAGUCUUGACAUUCUUACCAAACAAGAAGAAAAGAAGAAGCCUGAUAGAACUUAAUUUUUUCCUGUUGGUUAGAAUAUUACAACAGAGAUAGCACCACACCCCUCUAAGGAAUGCUCCACUUCUGACCGACUCCUUUCACAUCGGCAACUGUUGCCACGGUUCUUGUCUGAGACCCCAGAGAGCUGUUCUGAAUUGUCUCUUGGAUUCAUCCGGGCACCCUUCCCUUACUGUUGGCUUCUAGUAGUCAUGGAAAUUACAAGUUGUCCUGUUUAGUGUGGCAGCUGGUAAGCAAAUAGCACCCUCCGUUUUAUGUCAUAGUUCUUGGUAUUUGGGAAUUACCAAAUUUGAAAAUUCAAUAGCAUCAUUCUCUGCAUUGUCUUCACACAAACCACUGGGGAAAGGUCCAGGAAGCCACUGACACCACAUUAGACACCUCUGAGCGAUUUGGUACAAAAGCAGCUGGAGUCUUGCUAUCUCAGCUGCUGCCUAUAGUAAAAGAGUAAUUAGAAUUUCUUCCUUAGAGAACAAAAAUUUCAGUUAAGUAUACAUUUCUUUUAAGUAUGUAUGGAAAAUAGGCUAAUAGAAAAUUAUGCCAGAGGAGUAAAACGUGUUAUGCCAAGUAUUAAUUAUAUAUGUAUUAACUAGUACAUAAGAUAAUUCUAAGUUUAGAAAGGAGAUCAAGGUUAAUUUUAUUACCAAGUGCCCUUGGCCCUACUCAUUUAAUAGUAGAAGAUACAUAAUCUAUCAAAGUAAAAAAAAAAUGGUUAAAGCACUUUAAAAUCACUUUAACAAGGUCAGAAAUGAAGUUUUCAGAUAUUCUUUCCAGGAUAAGUACAAUGUCAUGAAUUUAAUAGCAACUAAAAAUAAAUUUAGACUUUUGACACUUUUUUUUUCUGAGGGAACACAGAACCUUGAAAAUACCUUGGGGGAAAUUGCUAACCUCUCUGGAAAUUAAUGAGUUCUUACAUUAUCCCUAAAGGGUUAUGGGAUAUUUUCUAAUUCUGCAUUGCAGAUGGGAAACCAAAGAGUUUGGCCAUGGGUUCUAUUUUCAGGGGCAGACUGAAAAGGACUCUUACAAUGCUCUUCUCUUUUCAGUUUGUCCAUCAUUUGGUCUUGUCUUUUUUCUAAGACAGAGUGGGCAGAUAAUAUUUGUUCUUUGUUUAGGAGUCUUAUUUCAAAGAGAUCUCUUAUUUCACUGAAAUUCCUGGGCAUACUCUCUGGAAUAU
Equus caballus (horse) is the source of this 1635-nucleotide long non-coding RNA. NCBI's taxonomy places the organism in Eukaryota, Metazoa, Chordata, Mammalia, Perissodactyla, Equidae. The record is from Ensembl.